ACUGGCAACCUUGGUACGGGAUCGGACAAACGUCAACGCGUUGGCGCCGAAAAAGAAUUGUCAUUGUUAGAAAAUUGAUCGAAACUGCGACACGUUUUUUCUUGACCUGGCAGUUAGUUAGUUUGUAGUGAAUUGUUUUUAGCGAAAACAGUAUGUAUUUGAUCAUUAGUUAUUUGAUCAUCUUUUAAUGUAUUUUUUAUAGUAGGUGGAAGCUAUUUGGCCAGUUGCGCGUGAUUUUUGUGCUCGCGGUUUAGUGAGUCGGAAGAGGUUAGGUGAUAGAAAUUCCUUACUGCGCAAUUUGCCACUAAAAUAUUGUAUUUCCUUUGAUAGUUUGAGUGACCGUUCGGUUGUUCCGGUUAGGUGUACCGGGUUGAGCUCAAUUAGAGCGGUAGGAAAGAAAAAGCCUUCAAAUAGCCGGUGAUAUCCGACGGUUUAGGGUUGCCAGAGCUAGAGCUUAGGGUAAACGGCGAAACUUAUUUUCGAGUUCGUUCGCAUACAACGUACUACGGAACAGUUUUUAUUUCCCACAAAUCUCGAAAAUAAAGCUGCAACGAGCAACCUAAACCUGGAACCGAUGAUGGAAGGCCCUACCGGAGAGCUGUUCAACUGCGU
Molecule: long non-coding RNA, 612 nt
Organism: Uranotaenia lowii
Lineage: Eukaryota; Metazoa; Arthropoda; Insecta; Diptera; Culicidae
Exons: 3
Source: RefSeq, a predicted model, not a curated record